This 429-nucleotide ribosomal RNA is filed under the name Acidobacteriota bacterium. RNAcentral's name for it is "Acidobacteria bacterium partial 16S ribosomal RNA". It matches the Rfam family "Bacterial small subunit ribosomal RNA", at positions 355 to 776 of the family's 1533-position model. The record is from RNAcentral. Lineage: Bacteria; Pseudomonadati; Acidobacteriota.
UGGGGAAUUUUGGACAAUGGGGGAAACCCUGAUCCAGCCAUCCCGCGUGUGCGAUGAAGGCCUUCGGGUUGUAAAGCACUUUUGGCAGGAAAGAAACGUCAUGGGUUAAUACCCCGUGAAACUGACGGUACCUGCAGAAUGAGCACCGGCUAACUACGUGCCAGCAGCCGCGGUAAUACGUAGGGUGCAAGCGUUAAUCGGAAUUACUGGGCGUAAAGCGUGCGCAGGCGGUUCGGAAAGAAAGAUGUGAAAUCCCAGAGCUCAACUUUGGAACUGCAUUUUUAACUACCGGGCUAGAGUGUGUCAGAGGGAGGUGGAAUUCCGCGUGUAGCAGUGAAAUGCGUAGAUAUGCGGAGGAACACCGAUGGCGAAGGCAGCCUCCUGGGAUAACACUGACGCUCAUGCACGAAAGCGUGGGGAGCAAACAGG